UACGUAGGGGGCUAGCGUUAUCCGGAAUUACUGGGCGUAAAGGGUGCGUAGGUGGUUUCUUAAGUCAGAGGUGAAAGGCUACGGCUCAACCGUAGUAAGCCUUUGAAACUGGGAAACUUGAGUGCAGGAGAGGAGAGUGGAAUUCCUAGUGUAGCGGUGAAAUGCGUAGAUAUUAGGAGGAACGCCAGUUGCGAAGGCGGCUCUCUGGACUGUAACUGACACUGAGGCACGAAAGCGUGGGGAGCAAACAGG
RNAcentral lists this ribosomal RNA (252 nucleotides) under uncultured bacterium. Its description in RNAcentral is "partial 16S ribosomal RNA". It matches the Rfam family "Bacterial small subunit ribosomal RNA", at positions 524 to 776 of the family's 1533-position model. The record is from RNAcentral.